This 497-nucleotide ribosomal RNA is filed under the name uncultured bacterium. Its description in RNAcentral is "partial 16S ribosomal RNA". It matches the Rfam family "Bacterial small subunit ribosomal RNA", at positions 28 to 507 of the family's 1533-position model. The record is from RNAcentral.
GAUGAACGCUGGCGGCGUGCCUAAUACAUGCAAGUCGAGCGAACAGACGAGGAGCUUGCUCCUCUGACGUUAGCGGCGGACGGGUGAGUAACACGUGGAUAACCUACCUAUAAGACUGGGAUCACUUCGGGAAACCGGAGCUAAUACCGGAUAAUCUAUUGAACCGCAUGGUUCAAUAGUGAAAGACGGUUUUGCUGUCACUUAUAGAUGGAUCCGCGCCGCAUUAGCUAGUCGGUAAGGUAACGGCUUACCAAGGCAACGAUGCGUAGCCGACCUGAGAGGGUGAUCGGCCACACUGGAACUGAGACACGGUCCAGACUCCUACGGGAGGCAGCAGUAGGGAAUCUUCCGCAAAGGGCGAAAGCCUGACGGAGCAACGCCGCGUGAGUGAUGAAGGUCUUCGGAUCGUAAAACUCUGUUAUUAGGGAAGAACAAAUGUGUAAGUAACUAUGCACGUCUUGACGGUACCUAAUCAGAAAGCCACGGCUAACUACGUG